AACGAACGCUGGCGGCAGGCCUAACACAUGCAAGUCGAACGGAUGUAGCAAUACAUUAGUGGCGCACGGGUGCGUAACACGUGGGAAUGUACCCUCUGGUAAGGAAUAAUAUUUGGAAACGAAUACUAAUACCUUAUAAUAUCUUCGGAUCAAAGAUUUAUCGCCAGAGGAUCAGCCCGCGUCUGAUUAGCUAGUUGGUGAGGUAAUGGCUCACCAAGGCGACGAUCAGUAGCUGGUCUGAGAGGAUGAUCAGCCACACUGGGACUGAGACACGGCCCAGACUCCUACGGGAGGCAGCAGUGAGGAAUAUUGCGCAAUGGAGGAAACUCUGACGCAGCCAUGCCGCGUGAGUGAAGAAGGCCUUAGGGUUGUAAAGCUCUUUCAAUGGUGAAGAUAAUGACGGUAGCCAUAGAAGAAGCCCCGGCUAAAUUCGUGCCAGCCGCCGCCGUAA
This 451-nucleotide ribosomal RNA is filed under the name uncultured bacterium. RNAcentral describes it as "partial 16S ribosomal RNA". It matches the Rfam family "Bacterial small subunit ribosomal RNA", at positions 29 to 523 of the family's 1533-position model. The record is from RNAcentral.